GAUGAACGCUGGCGGCGUGCCUAAUACAUGCAAGUCGAGCGAACAGAUGAGGAGCUUGCUCCUCUGACGUUAGCGGCGGACGGGUGAGUAACACGUGGAUAACCUACCUAUAAGACUGGGAUAACUUCGGGAAACCGGAGCUAAUACCGGAUAAUAUAUUGAACCGCAUGGUUCAAUAGUGAAAGACGGUUUUGCUGUCACUUCUAGCUGGAUCCGCGCCGCAUUAGCUAGUUGGUAAGGUAACGGCUUACCAAGGCAACGAUGCGUAGCCGACCUGAGAGGGUGAUCGGCCACACUGGAACUGAGACACGGUCCAGACUCCUACGGGAGGCAGCAGUAGGGAAUCGUCCGCAAUGGGCGAAAGCCUGACGGAGCAACGCCGCGUGAGUGAUGAAGGUCUUCGGAUCGUAAAACUCUGUUAUUAGGGAAGAACAAAUGUGUAAGUAACUAUGCACGUCUUGACGGUACCGAAUCAGAAAGCCACGGCUAACUACGUG
RNAcentral lists this ribosomal RNA (497 nucleotides) under uncultured bacterium. RNAcentral describes it as "partial 16S ribosomal RNA". It matches the Rfam family "Bacterial small subunit ribosomal RNA", at positions 28 to 507 of the family's 1533-position model. The record is from RNAcentral.